RNAcentral lists this ribosomal RNA (175 nucleotides) under Roseibium aggregatum. Its description in RNAcentral is "partial 16S ribosomal RNA". It matches the Rfam family "Bacterial small subunit ribosomal RNA", at positions 335 to 525 of the family's 1533-position model. Lineage: Bacteria; Pseudomonadati; Pseudomonadota; Alphaproteobacteria; Hyphomicrobiales; Stappiaceae. The record is from RNAcentral.
ACUCCUACGGGAGGCAGCAGUGGGGAAUAUUGGACAAUGGGCGCAAGCCUGAUCCAGCCAUGCCGCGUGAGUGAUGAAGGCCCUAGGGUUGUAAAGCUCUUUCAGCGAGGAGGAUAAUGACGUUACUCGCAGAAGAAGCCCCGGCUAACUUCGUGCCAGCAGCCGCGGUAAUUAA